UAGGGAAUCUUCGGCAAUGGACGGAAGUCUGACCGAGCAACGCCGCGUGAGUGAAGAAGGUUUUCGGAUCGUAAAGCUCUGUUGUUAGAGAAGAACGUUGGUAGGAGUGGAAAAUCUACCAAGUGACGGUAACUAACCAGAAAGGGACGGCUAACUACGUGCCAGCAGCCGCGGUAAUACGUAGGUCCCGAGCGUUGUCCGGAUUUAUUGGGCGUAAAGCGAGCGCAGGCGGGUCUUUAAGUCUGAAGUUAAAGGCAGUGGCUUAACCAUUGUACGCUUUGGAAACUGGAGGACUUGAGUGCAGAAGGGGGGAGUGGAAUUCCAUGUGUAGCGGUGAAAUGCGUAGAUAUAUGGAGGAACGCCGGUGGCGAAAGCGGCUCUCUGGUCUGUAACUGACGCUGAGGCUCGAAAGCGUGGGGAGCAAACAGG
RNAcentral lists this ribosomal RNA (429 nucleotides) under Bacillota bacterium. RNAcentral's name for it is "Firmicutes bacterium partial 16S ribosomal RNA". It matches the Rfam family "Bacterial small subunit ribosomal RNA", at positions 355 to 776 of the family's 1533-position model. The record is from RNAcentral. Lineage: Bacteria; Bacillati; Bacillota.